GACGAACGCUGGCGGCGUGCCUAAUACAUGCAAGUAGAACGCUGAAGGAGGAGCUUGCUCUUCUGGAUGAGUUGCGAACGGGUGAGUAACGCGUAGGUAACCUGCCUGGUAGCGGGGGAUAACUAUUGGAAACGAUAGCUAAUACCGCAUAACAGUAGAUGUUGCAUGACAUUUACUUAAAAGGUGCAAUUGCAUCACUACCAGAUGGACCUGCGUUGUAUUAGCUAGUUGGUGGGGUAACGGCUCACCAAGGCGACGAUACAUAGCCGACCUGAGAGGGUGAUCGGCCACACUGGGACUGAGACACGGCCCAGACUCCUACGGGAGGCAGCAGUAGGGAAUCUUCGGCAAUGGACGGAAGUCUGACCGAGCAACGCCGCGUGAAUGAAGAAGGUUUUCGGAUCGUAAAGCUCUGUUGUAAGAGAAGAACGAGUGUGAGAGUGGAAAGUUCACACUGUGACGGUAUCUUACCAGAAAGGGACGGCUAACUACGUG
Molecule: ribosomal RNA, 495 nt
Filed under: uncultured bacterium
Lineage: Bacteria
Description: partial 16S ribosomal RNA
Rfam family: Bacterial small subunit ribosomal RNA
Source: RNAcentral